UGUUUUGAGCCCUACUAAGAAGAGCGAAUAGUGAGUAGGGCGACUACACAUUUCAUCUUGUACAAUGACGAGAGCAAACAAGAUGGUUGGAUUUUUCUAUUUUUAGUCAGAGUACACCUGUAACCUCAACAAGGCUGAGGUAGGAAAAUUGUAAUGAGUUCCAGGGCCAAAAACUAAAACAAAUGUCUGCUCUCAAAAUAGAGCAAUGACACGGAGGGAAGAGAACGGUCACAUGUCGAGUGUAACUACUCCUGAAAGAUUUUGUCACCCAGUGACAUCACACCCAGAUUAUCUUGUGUAAGAACACACUGUGUUUGGACAAUGAUAAAGCAUUUCUCAGAACUCAUCUCUGUUGCCAAGCAACACCUCACUGUGUUGCCCGGGAAGCCCCUGUUCUCUUUACUUGGGGACCCUGUGUGAUUUAGCGGUCCUGACUCCCAGAAUCCCCUUUGUGGGCUGCAGUGCAUCAGAUUCCCCAGUGGGAACCCUGCAUCUCAGGGCUUUGAACCUUGGAUAUUUAGUGACUUUCUGGGAUGUUACCCAGGCUGUUUUCUGGAGGGGAGCUUACUGUCACCUGUCAGAGGGGAAAGUUCAUGUUGUAAUCUAGAAAGAACCUGAUUUUUCUUAGGGUCCACAUCUUUGAAAACGUGUCAAGUGUUUCUAUUUUUCUAACUAAGAAUUUCUGUAUCGGUUACUUUUGAAUAAAGUUUGGUGGGUUUUUUUUUUUUUCUCCU
Molecule: long non-coding RNA, 734 nt
Filed under: Rattus norvegicus (Norway rat)
Lineage: Eukaryota; Metazoa; Chordata; Mammalia; Rodentia; Muridae
Description: long non-coding RNA NONRATT014933
Source: RNAcentral